Thunnus maccoyii (southern bluefin tuna) is the source of this 594-nucleotide long non-coding RNA. RefSeq lists it as uncharacterized. The transcript is spliced from 4 exons. The record is from RefSeq and is a predicted model, not a curated record. NCBI's taxonomy places the organism in Eukaryota, Metazoa, Chordata, Actinopteri, Scombriformes, Scombridae.
CUUUGUGAGAUGCCAGGAUAACAGUGCCCGGUGUCAGUGUCGCUUACCCUGUGAUUGGCAUAUGGCAGGCCAUGUGACACAGCCAGCAUGACGGUGAGAUCAGCGUAAUCAAGAGGCCAUGAAGAGACACUGCAUUCACACAACCAGGCAAUGAAUUGCUCCUGCCUUUUCAUCUUCAGAUCUGCAGUUUCUCUGGGUUGCAAGGCACACACGUACCUCUUUGCACGGCUGUACAGUACAACAACCACAAGGUCGUUAUUCAUCAGGUCAUCUGGUCAUUCCUCCUGCAGAAUGAAGAGCCACUACUGGUUUGAACUAGUAUGAUGUGUUACACAACAACACAAUCCAAGAACCACCACGAUCCAGCCUGUACAUUCCGGUGGUUGUCAUAGCAACAAGGCAGCAUCCCUCUCUCCAUCCUUUGUCCAGUGUCUCCCCAUCGUUUGAGCUUCCCAGACGGAAAGGCGGUGUGGAUUCUGCAUGCAAAUCGAACCCCUAAUUGAGCCUCGGAGCGAUGUGGUAAACUCCCCCCAUUCUGCAAUGGCGUUAAAACACUCAGAUGUUAAAUGAGACAAAGAGGAAAACAGAUGAAUA